RNAcentral lists this ribosomal RNA (494 nucleotides) under uncultured bacterium. Its description in RNAcentral is "bacterial SSU rRNA". It matches the Rfam family "Bacterial small subunit ribosomal RNA", at positions 29 to 518 of the family's 1533-position model. The record is from RNAcentral.
AUGAACGCUGGCGACAGGCCUAACACAUGCAAGUCGAGGGGCAGCACAAGGAGCAAUCUGAGGUGGCGACCGGCGCACGGGUGAGUAACACGUAUGCAACCUGCCUGUAAGCGGGGAAUAACCCGUUGAAAGACGGACUAAUACCGCAUAAUACUAAAUUACUGCAUGGUAAUUUAUUUAAACAUUUAUGGCUUACAGAUGGGCAUGCGCAUGAUUAGCUAGUUGGAGAGGUAACGGCUCCCCAAGGCAACGAUCAUUAGGGGUUCUGAGAGGAAGGUCCCCCACACUGGUACUGAGACACGGACCAGACUCCUACGGGAGGCAGCAGUGAGGAAUAUUGGUCAAUGGACGAGAGUCUGAACCAGCCAAGUCGCGUGCAGGAAGAAUGUCCUAUGGAUUGUAAACUGCUUUUGCAGGGGAAUAAAGUGCAUCACGUGUGAUGUUUUGUAUGUACUCUGCGAAUAAGGAUCGGCUAACUCCGUGCCAGCAGCAGC